AACGAACGCUGGCGGCAGGCUUAACACAUGCAAGUCGAGCGCCCUGCAAGGGGAGCGGCAGACGGGUGAGUAACGCGUGGGAACGUACCCUUUUCUACGGAAUAACGCAGGGAAACUUGUGCUAAUACCGUAUACGCCCUUUUGGGGAAAGAUUUAUCGGGGAAGGAUCGGCCCGCGUUGGAUUAGCUAGUUGGUGGGGUAAAGGCCUACCAAGGCGACGAUCCAUAGCUGGUCUGAGAGGAUGAUCAGCCACAUUGGGACUGAGACACGGCCCAAACUCCUACGGGAGGCAGCAGUGGGGAAUAUUGGACAAUGGGCGCAAGCCUGAUCCAGCCAUGCCGCGUGAGUGAUGAAGGCCCUAGGGUUGUAAAGCUCUUUCACCGGAGAAGAUAAUGACGGUAUCCGGAGAAGAAGCCCCGGCUAACUUCGUG
This 431-nucleotide ribosomal RNA is filed under the name uncultured bacterium. RNAcentral's name for it is "bacterial SSU rRNA". It matches the Rfam family "Bacterial small subunit ribosomal RNA", at positions 29 to 507 of the family's 1533-position model. The record is from RNAcentral.